AGUUUGAUUCUGGCUCAGAUUGAACGCUGGCGGGAUGCCUUUACAUGCAAGUCGAACGCCAGCACGGACUUCAGUCUGGUGGCGAAGUGGCGAGCGGGUGGGUAAUGUAUCGGAACGAUGCCCUGGUAGCGGGGAUAACUACGCGAAAGCGUAGCUAAUACCGCAUACGCCCUUCGGGGAAAGCGGGGGACCUUCGGGCCUCGCACUAUUAGAGCGGCCGAUAUCGGAUUAGCUAGUUGGUGGGGUAACGGCUCGCAAGGCGACGAUCCGUAGCUGGUUUGAGAGGACGACCAGCCGCACAGGACUGAGACACGGCCCAGACUCCUACGGGAGGCAGCAGUGAAAUUUUUGGACAAUGGGGAAACCUGAUCCAGCCAUCCGCGUGUGCGAUGAAGGCCUUCGGGUUGCUAAAAGCACUUUUGGCAGUAAAAAGAAACGCUGGGAUAAUACGAUACAGCAGCAGUGCAGAAUAAGCACCGACUAACUACGUGCCAGCAGCCGCGGUAAUGCGGCGUAGGGUGCAAGCGUUAAUCGGAAUUACUGGGCGUAAAGCGUGCGCAGGCGGUUCGGAAGAAAGAUGUGAAAUCCCAGGCUUAACUUUGGAACUGCAUUUUUUUUAACUACCGAGCUAGAGUGUGUCAGAGGGAGGUGGAAUUCCGCGUGUAGCAGUGAAAUGCGUAGAUAUGCGGAGGAACACCGAUGGCAGCCUCCUGGGAUAACACUGACGCUCAUGCACGAAAGCGUGGGAGCAAACAGGAUUAGAUACCCUGGUAGUCCACGCCCUAAACGAUGUCAACUAGCUGUUGGGGCCUUCGGGCCUUGGUAGCGCAGCUAACGCGUGAAGUUGACCGCCUGGGGAGUACGGUCGCAAGAUUAAAACUCAAAGGAAUUGACGGGGACCCGCACAAGCGGUGGAUGAUGUGGAUUAAUUCCGAUGCAACGCGAAAAGCCUUACCUACCCUUGACAUGUCUGGAAUCCCGAAGGAAUUUGGGAGUGCUCGCAAGAGAACCGGAACACAGGUGCUGCAUGGCUGUCGUCAGCUCGUGUCGUGAGAUGUUGGGUUAAGUCCCGCAACAGGCGCAACCCUUGUCAUUAGUUGCUACGAAGGGCACUCUAAUGAGACUGCCGGUGACAAACCGGAGGAAGGUGGGGAUGACGUCAAGUCCUCAUGGCCCUUAUGGGUAGGGCUUCACACGUCAUACAAUGGUCGGGACAGAGGGGUCGCCAACCCGCGAGGAGGGCCAAUCCCAGAAACCCGAUCGUAGUCCGGAUCGCAGUCUGCAACUCGACUGCGUGAAGUCGGAAUCGCUGGUAAUCGCGGAUCAGCAUGUCGCGGUGAAUACGUUCCCGGGUCUUGUACACACCGCCCGUCACACCAUGGGAGUGGGUUUUACCAGAAGUAGUUAGCCUAACCGUAAGGAGGGCGAUUACCACGGUAGGAUUCAUGACUGGGGUGAAGUCGUAACAAGGUAG
This 1474-nucleotide ribosomal RNA is filed under the name uncultured Bordetella sp. RNAcentral describes it as "partial 16S-23S ribosomal RNA intergenic spacer". It matches the Rfam family "Bacterial small subunit ribosomal RNA". The record is from RNAcentral. Lineage: Bacteria; Pseudomonadati; Pseudomonadota; Betaproteobacteria; Burkholderiales; Alcaligenaceae.